GACGAACGCUGGCGGCGUGCUUAACACAUGCAAGUCGAACGGAAAGGCCCUGCUUUUGUGGGGUGCUCGAGUGGCGAACGGGUGAGUAACACGUGAGUAACCUGCCCUUGACUUUGGGAUAACUUCAGGAAACUGGGGCUAAUACCGGAUAGGAGCUCCUGCUGCAUGGUGGGGGUUGGAAAGUUUCGGCGGUUGGGGAUGGACUCGCGGCUUAUCAGCUUGUUGGUGAGGUAGUGGCUUACCAAGGCUUUGACGGGUAGCCGGCCUGAGAGGGUGACCGGCCACAUUGGGACUGAGAUACGGCCCAGACUCCUACGGGAGGCAGCAGUGGGGAAUAUUGCACAAUGGGCGGAAGCCUGAUACAGCAACGCCGCGUGCGGGAUGACGGCCUUCGGGUUGUAAACCGCUUUCGCCUGUGACGAAGCGUGAGUGACGGUAAUGGGUAAAGAAGCACCGGCUAACUACGUG
This 468-nucleotide ribosomal RNA is filed under the name uncultured bacterium. Its description in RNAcentral is "partial 16S ribosomal RNA". It matches the Rfam family "Bacterial small subunit ribosomal RNA", at positions 28 to 507 of the family's 1533-position model. The record is from RNAcentral.